GGGCCCGCACAAGCGGUGGAGCAUGUGGUUUAAUUCGAUGAUACGCGAGGAACCUUACCAGGGCUUAAAUGUAGUUUGACCGGUCUGGAAACAGACUUUCUCUUCGGAGCAGAUUACAAGGUGCUGCAUGGUUGUCGUCAGCUCGUGCCGUGAGGUGUCAGGUUAAGUCCUAUAACGAGCGCAACCCCUACCGUUAGUUGCCAGCGUGUAAUGACGGGGACUCUAACGGAACUGCCGGUGCAAACCGUGAGGAAGGUGGGGACGACGUCAAAUCAUCACGGCCCUUACGUCCUGGGCCACACACGUGCUACAAUGGUAGGUACAGAGGGAAGCCACCCCGCGAGGGGGAGCGGAUCUAUAAAACCUAUCUCAGUUCGGAUUGGAGUCUGCAACUCGACUCUAUG
Molecule: ribosomal RNA, 404 nt
Filed under: uncultured bacterium
Lineage: Bacteria
Description: bacterial SSU rRNA
Rfam family: Bacterial small subunit ribosomal RNA
Source: RNAcentral